Molecule: ribosomal RNA, 364 nt
Filed under: uncultured bacterium
Lineage: Bacteria
Description: bacterial SSU rRNA
Rfam family: Bacterial small subunit ribosomal RNA
Source: RNAcentral
CCGGAACGUAACGGUUCCUUUCCUUCGGGACAGGCGAGACAGGUGGUGCAUGGUUGUCGUCAGCUCGUGUCGUGAGAUGUUGGGUUAAGUCCCGCAACGAGCGCAACCCUUAUCCUUAGUAGCCAGCAGGYAAGGCUGGGCACUCUGGGGAGACUGCCGGAGACAAUCCGGAGGAAGGUGGGGAUGACGUCAAAUCAUCAUGCCCCUUAUGAUUUGGGCUACACACGUGCUACAAUGGCGUAAACAAAGGGAAGCGAAGGAGUGAUCCGGAGCGAACCCCAAAAAUAACGUCCCAGUUCGGAUUGUAGUCUGCAACUCGACUACAUGAAGCUGGAAUCGCUAGUAAUCGCGGAUCASAAUGCCG